AAGGAAUAUUGGUCAAUGGACGCAAGUCUGAACCAGCCAUGCCGCGUGAAGGAUGAAGGUCCUCUGGAUUGUAAACUUCUUUUAUCUGGGACGAAAACGGGAUUUUUAUCUCAAUUGACGGUACCAGAGGAAUAAGCACCGGCUAACUCCGUGCCAGCAGCCGCGGUAAUACGGAGGGUGCGAGCGUUAUCCGGAUUUACGGGGUUUAAAGGGUGCGUAGGUGGGCUUAUAAGUCAGUUGUGAAAUCUCCGAGCUUAACUUGGAAACUGCCGUUGAUACUAUCGGUCUUGAAUUAUCUGGAGGUAAGCGGAAUAUGUCAUGUAGCGGUGAAAUGCUUAGAUAUGACAUAGAACACCAAUUGCGAAGGCAGCUUACUACAUAUAAAUUGACGCUGAGGCACGAAAGCGU
RNAcentral lists this ribosomal RNA (408 nucleotides) under uncultured bacterium. RNAcentral describes it as "bacterial SSU rRNA". It matches the Rfam family "Bacterial small subunit ribosomal RNA", at positions 356 to 762 of the family's 1533-position model. The record is from RNAcentral.